UGGGGCGUAGACGAAUUGGUACAGUCACCAGAUUUUGGAUCUGGAGUUUGCAGGUUCGAGCCCUGCCGCCCCAGCCA
RNAcentral lists this transfer RNA (77 nucleotides) under Candidatus Omnitrophota bacterium. RNAcentral describes it as "Candidatus Omnitrophica bacterium tRNA-Gln". It matches the Rfam family "tRNA". Rfam says of the family: Transfer RNA (tRNA) molecules are approximately 80 nucleotides in length. Their secondary structure includes four short double-helical elements and three loops (D, anti-codon, and T loops). The record is from RNAcentral. Lineage: Bacteria; Pseudomonadati; Candidatus Omnitrophota.